UGGGGAAUUUUGGACAAUGGGGGCAACCCUGAUCCAGCAAUGCCGCGUGUGUGAAGAAGGCCUUCGGGUUGUAAAGCACUUUUGUCCGGAAAGAAAUCGCCCUGGCUAAUAUCCGGGGUGGAUGACGGUACUGGAAGAAUAAGCACCGGCUAACUACGUGCCAGCAGCCGCGGUAAUACGUAGGGUGCAAGCGUUAAUCGGAAUUACUGGGCGUAAAGCGUGCGCAGGCGGUUGUGCAAGACAGAUGUGAAAUCCCCGGGCUUAACCUGGGAAUGGCAUUUGUGACUGCACGGCUAGAGUGUGUCAGAGGGGGGUAGAAUUCCACGUGUAGCAGUGAAAUGCGUAGAUAUGUGGAGGAACACCGAUGGCGAAGGCAGCCCCCUGGGAUAACACUGACGCUCAUG
RNAcentral lists this ribosomal RNA (404 nucleotides) under uncultured bacterium. RNAcentral's name for it is "partial 16S ribosomal RNA". It matches the Rfam family "Bacterial small subunit ribosomal RNA", at positions 355 to 751 of the family's 1533-position model. The record is from RNAcentral.